UUCAGAUCUAAAACUCAAAAGUCGAGAGUCAAGCCCUAUUUUUCAAUUUUGCAUCUUAUUCUCCAGCACACAACGCCGCAGCCACCACAGACCACACCAGCCAGCCCCAUCUCCAAUCUCCAUCAGCCAUCAAAGCCUCCUUCCUCUACCCCUGCUUCUUCUCUCUGCCUCACCAGCCAGCCCCAUCUCUAAAUAAACAUGGAUGGACUUCAAAUAAAUCUUGAAUCAAGUAGCUUUGAAAUGCCUAUUAAUUUAGAAGAUGUUGCAAGUCCUAUGGAGGGAGUCACAAGUGGGCAUAAAGUGAAACGCAAGAGAAAACUCACUUCAAAGGUUUGGUCUUACUUUGAUGUGCUUCCUUUGGAUGUUGAUGGUAAGCAAAAAUGUAAAUGUAAAGAUUGUGGUACCAUUUAUCUUUGUGAUAGUAAAUAUGGAACGGGAAAUUUGGUGCGUCA
Molecule: long non-coding RNA, 452 nt
Organism: Ziziphus jujuba (common jujube)
Lineage: Eukaryota; Viridiplantae; Streptophyta; Magnoliopsida; Rosales; Rhamnaceae
Exons: 2
Source: RefSeq, a predicted model, not a curated record